RNAcentral lists this ribosomal RNA (468 nucleotides) under uncultured bacterium. RNAcentral's name for it is "partial 16S ribosomal RNA". It matches the Rfam family "Bacterial small subunit ribosomal RNA", at positions 28 to 507 of the family's 1533-position model. The record is from RNAcentral.
GAUGAACGCUGGCGGCGUGCUUAACACAUGCAAGUCGAACGGAAAGGCCAGUGCUUGCACUGGUACUCGAGUGGCGAACGGGUGAGUAACACGUGGGUGAUCUGCCCUGUACUUCGGGAUAAGCUUGGGAAACUGGGUCUAAUACCGGAUAGGACAACUUUUUGGAUAUUGUUGUGGAAAGCUUUUGCGGUAUGGGAUGAGCUCGCGGCCUAUCAGCUUGUUGGUGGGGUAAUGGCCUACCAAGGCGUCGACGGGUAGCCGGCCUGAGAGGGUGUACGGCCACAUUGGGACUGAGAUACGGCCCAGACUCCUACGGGAGGCAGCAGUGGGGAAUAUUGCACAAUGGGCGCAAGCCUGAUGCAGCGACGCCGCGUGGGGGAUGAAGGCCUUCGGGUUGUAAACUCCUUUCGCUAGGGACGAAGCUUUUUUGUGACGGUACCUGGAGAAGAAGCACCGGCUAUCUACGUG